Molecule: ribosomal RNA, 292 nt
Filed under: uncultured Bacteroidota bacterium
Lineage: Bacteria; Pseudomonadati; Bacteroidota
Description: uncultured Bacteroidetes bacterium partial 16S ribosomal RNA
Source: RNAcentral
GGACUACCGGGGUAUCUAAUCCUGUUUGAUCCCCGCACUUUCGUGUUUCAGUGUCAGUAAUAGUUUGGCGGACUGCCUUCGCGAUCGGUGUUCUAUGACAUAUCUAAGCAUUUCACCGCUACAUGUCAUAUUCCAUCCGCCUCAACUACACUCAAGAAUAACAGUAUCUAUGGCAGUUCCCCGAUUGAGUCGGGGGCUUUCACCACUGACUUAUUACCCCACCUGCACACCCUUUAAACCCAGUGAAUCCGGAUAACGCUUGCAUCCUUCGUAUUACCGCGGCUGCUGGCAC